GAUGAACGCUGGCGGCGUGCCUAAUACAUGCAAGUCGAGCGAACAGACGAGGAGCUUGCUCCUCUGACGUUAGCGGCGGACGGGUGAGUAACACGUGGAUAACCUACCUAUAAGACUGGGAUAACUUCGGGAAACCGGAGCUAAUACCGGAUAAUAUAUUGAACCGCAUGGUUCCAUAGUGAAAGACGGAUUUGCUGUCACUUAUAGAUGGAUCCGCGCCGCAUUCGCUAGUUGGUAAGGUAACGGCUUACCAAGGCAACGAUGCGUAGACGACCUGAGAGGGUGAGCGCCCACACUGGAACUGCGCCACGGUCCAGACUCCUCCGGGAGGCAGCAGUAGGGAAUCUUCCGCAAUGGGCGAAAGCUUGACGGAGCAACGCCGCGUGAGUGAUGAAGGUCUUCGGAUCGUAAAACUCUGUUAUUAGGGAAGAACAAAUGUGUAAGUAACUAUGCACGUCUUGACGGUACCUAAUCAGAAAGCCACGGCUAACUACGUG
Molecule: ribosomal RNA, 497 nt
Filed under: uncultured bacterium
Lineage: Bacteria
Description: partial 16S ribosomal RNA
Rfam family: Bacterial small subunit ribosomal RNA
Source: RNAcentral